GCCUACGGGAGGCAGCAGUGGGGAAUAUUGCACAAUGGGGGAAACCCUGAUGCAGCGACGCCGCGUGAGUGAAGAAGUAUUUCGGUAUGUAAAGCUCUAUCAGCAGGGAAGAAAAUGACGGUACCUGACCAAGAAGCCCCGGCUAACUACGUGCCAGCAGCCGCGGUAAUACGUAGGGGGCAAGCGUUAUCCGGAUUUACUGGGUGUAAAGGGAGCGUAGACGGCUGUGCAAGUCAGAAGUGAAAGCCCGGGGCUCAACCCCGGGACUGCAUUGGGAACUGUUUAUCUAGAGUGUCGGGGAGGCA
This 305-nucleotide ribosomal RNA is filed under the name uncultured bacterium. Its description in RNAcentral is "bacterial SSU rRNA". It matches the Rfam family "Bacterial small subunit ribosomal RNA", at positions 337 to 659 of the family's 1533-position model. The record is from RNAcentral.